Molecule: ribosomal RNA, 497 nt
Filed under: uncultured bacterium
Lineage: Bacteria
Description: partial 16S ribosomal RNA
Rfam family: Bacterial small subunit ribosomal RNA
Source: RNAcentral
GAUGAACGCUGGCGGCGUGCCUAAUACAUGCAAGUCGAGCGAACAGACGAGGAGCUUGCUCCUCUGACGUUAGCGGCGGACGGGUGAGUAACACGUGGAUAACCUACCUAUAAGACUGGGAUAACUUCGGGAAACCGGAGCUAAUACCGGAUAAUAUAUUGAACCGCAUGGUUCAAUAGUGAAAGACGGUUUUGCUGUCACUUAUAGAUGGAUCCGCGCCGCAUUAGCUAGUUGGUAAGGUAACGGCUUACCAAGGCAACGAUGCGUAGCCGACCGGAGAGGGUGAUCGGCCACACUGGAACUGAGCCACGGUCCAGACUCCUACGGGAGGCAGCAGUAGGGAAUCUUCCGCAAUGGGCGAAAGCCUGACGGAGCAACGCCGCGUGAGUGAUGAAGGUCUUCGGAUCGUAAAACUCUGUUAUUAGGGAAGAACAAAUGUGUAAGUAACUAUGCACGUCUUGACGGUACCUAAUCAGAAAGCCACGGCUAACUACGUG